GCCCCGCCGGCGCUGCCGGGGGAGUGGUUUCCCCGCGCUGGCAGUGGCGGGGCCGGUCUGCGGGCGGGGAGGUGCCGCGGCGGCGGUGCCAGCGCCCGGCCCGGGAGGAUGCGGACUCGCUGACGGAGCUGCCGGCUCCCCUCUGCCGCCGUGCAUGGGCGGCGGGCGGCUGCCGUCUCGCCUCGCCUCGCCUGCCCCGCCGGCACUUUCAGGACUUAACAGAGUUUGCACACCACUUUGUCAGCGACGUGAACGCCUGCAGCAAGGACAGUUUCUGGAAGCGUGAUCCAUUGAUGUGAUUGAAGCAUGACAGAGGUGAUGAACACACGGGAACCGGUGAUGGAGGAAUUUGCACUCAGCCAGACUCCUGAGGAAGAAGGAGGCCCUUCAAGUCAGGCCUUCCCAGACUCACGUGAGAAGUACCCCAAGCUGUCCAAAAGACUGCCAUCGAUCGUAGUGGAGCCAACCGAGUCCGGGGACGUGGAGAGUGGGGAGCUGCGCUGGCCUCCUGAUGACCUGAAAUCAGCAGAGGACAAGGGGCUUCAUGGUGACCAAAGAGUCUGUGUCCAGCAGCAGCAGCAGCAGAUGGAUCUGGAAGAUACUUUAGCGCACCCAGCUCAAGAAGUGGAAGGCAGUACAGAUACUCUGGAAGGCAGAACUGAAGAAGAUGAGUAGAAACUCCGUGGCCUCAGAAGUGAAACUUCAAAUUGUGAAUGUUGUUGGAAAGCUAACACACUUUGAAGACAUGUCAAAGUAACCUGUAUUUAAAUCUGCAAGGGUUUUAUUUAGUUAGUACCUGGUAAGAAGCAUCUGGGCUUUAGAACUGUUCUUUUAAACAUCUUGAUUUUCAGGCUGGGAUUCAUAUCAUUUGUUUAAUUUUUCCUUGGGAAACAAUGGGGCGUGUUAGAAAAUACGAGAUUAUCAAGGGAAAAAUGCUCCUAAUUUCAAUUAGCACAUUUAAUUGGUUUUACCUUUUUCAAGCAAGGCUGCUUUCAGGUAUCAACAGCAGGACAAAGGGGUUACAUUUCUACAGGAGGGAUGUCUUAAACCUAAAACCUUUCUUGUUUUUAGCCAUUUAAAACUAGCACUGUGAUAUUAUGGACAAUAGAUGUAAUAUAAUGUCACCAUUUGGUUUUGUAACUUUUGUAUAGAGACGCAAGUGUAAGAUUUGCCUCCAGGCUGCCUUCCCGGGGCGGCCCAGAGCAGUUCUCUCCCUUUGGCUAACUUGUGCAAAUUUGGAUGAACCAGCCUUUUCUUAGCUGCCUUUUCAGAAAAGCUUUCUCGCUGUACAUUGACGAAGCGGAUAGCUAGUCGCUGGUGUUUUUGGAGUGAGGCUGUCUGUGGUAGGCUUGGUCGGGUGGAUCGUGCUGUUCACGCGCUCUUCAGGACCAGGUCCAGCUGUGGCGUGGUGUGUGCUCCUCUCUCUUAAAGCCAACAAGGUGGAUCCCUCUUCUGCCGGGGCUGGAUUGGUCCCACCUUGUUAGUAGAACUUGUUGUGACAAUUCUUCUUUUGGUAUGUUUUGUGUAUACCACAGGCACAGAGGCCCAGCUGUUCCUUCUUUGACCCAAGCCUGGCAGUGGUUGGGGGUGGGUGACAGGAGCUCCAUAGCACAGCCCAAAACUGCCCUCAAUGUGCAUGACACCAGGUCCAUCCUGAGCCACCUGCAGUAGGAGAGGGGUGGAGAAGAGCCGAGGUGGUGGGACACACACCGCUUCCCUCCUGCACAAGAGGUGCUGCCAAGGGGAGUGCAUGUGCCAGGGUCUGCCCUCACCAGCGGCAUGGUCCCCUUGGCUUUGGAUGUACAGCCACCAUGGAGACCAGAGCUCCCAGUGGGACAAGCUGUCUUUGGACACUUCUGGAUUUUCCUUGGGCAUUUGGGGGUCAUUUUGACAGGGGUGAACCCCUUCUUGCGUGGGCACCUCCCAGAGACUCCCUCCUGCCAUCCAAGGAGAAACACUGAUCUCAGUCCAAAACACUACCCUUUCGACGGCGUUGGUGUAGAUAGAUAAUGCAUGUACUCAGAAGGGUUUCACUGUGUCGGUGACGAGUGUCCCGUCAGCUAUGAAGUUGGCUUUCUCCAUCUCUGCAGGGCUGGAUAGGGGUCUGUACUUCCAAUUAAUGUUGCAGCCGGAAGAAGCCGCUAGCUGUAGGUGGAACAAAGUAACAGGAUUUCUUCGAGCAUUAACUCCUAAGUUGACUUCCAAGUGCUUUCUUUUCUCCAGUAAUAGUUUUCUCUAAUGGCAACUUUUAAUGGUGUAAUGGUGGAUAAAAUUUACUGGCCAGAUGUAUUAAUAAGAUAAGUUUAUACCUUCUUAGCAACCAAAUUUAAUAUAUUUACUUACAAAGAAUUCUGUGCAAUGAAUGUUUAAUACAAACGAAAGAGACUAUUUUACUUCAAAGCAACAUUAAUUUAUGUACGAAACUAUAGCUCAUUAUUUGGGGUGUUUGGGAUCUAGGACCCUUUUUAUAAGCAGUGUAGUAUAGUAUAAUGUGAUACUUCAGUUAAACUUUGCUCUGUUAACCUAUAUAACAAUCUGUUUUGCCUUCUUGAUGUAGACUUUCUUACCUACACUGUCACAGAAUUAUUUUGUUGGAUGAGUGGGGUUCUGGUAAGAGCACUGGAUUCUACCAGAGUAACUGAAAGUUUCAAGAGCACCUCUUAAAUCUGGUUGCUUUGUCACCCCCUUCCCUGGUGACAGCUUUCUGGUAAAGCCAAUAAAUCAAGAACAAGCUCAAGCUACGUGUUUGGGUAGCACAUGAGCAGUGAGAGGAGGUCCUCGGCUUGGACCCAUCUGCAGCUGGUUGUGGCAGGAGGAGAGCUGCACUGGCAAGGCGGCCGGGCAGAUGCAAGGUGCUCUUUAAAUGCUACUGUUUCAUUGACCGUCAAGAGGUUUUACAAAGCUCUAGGGGGGAGAAUAACGAUGGUGACGACAUAUUUUUAGCUGUGUGAUUUCCUUUCAAUCUGCAUCUGCCCAGCUCCAUGAGGAAUGACGUUAGACAUAUCACUUAAUUUGCUUUUCGCUUUAUAAAAGGAAAAACAGUUGCUUGAACACUUCCCCCAAUUUUAUGUGCUCUCUAUCUGCUUUCAGACGCUCCCUCCCUUCCUGCUCUGGAUGGCCCUUAUCCUAUUUCCACCUGAGGUCAAUGGCACUUCCCUAAAUAAGUUUUCCAAAGAAACAACAAAAUUCUACAUACACCGUGAAAAAACGCCGCACAGCACUACUUUUUUUAUCCUCCUGCGUAAAGCCACAGCCCAUACAGAAAUCCCAGAUUUCCUCCUCCCAGCCUAAUUACUGCUCUCUUUUUCUCUCCUUUGCGCUGCUCCCUUGAAGUAUUUUACCUGAAGCAAAUGGCUGCUUCAAACUAAAGCUUUCUCCUAAAGCCGUGUGGCCUCAGUUUAACAACCACGCAAAGCCAAACUCCUCCUCCCAUUUUUAUUGUUCUGAACAUGGGCCAGAGGCCCUAAAAUAAGAGAGCAAGAUAGAGAGAAAAUUGUUUUAUACAAACAAGCCCUAUUUAUUCUACUUGCAGGUCUAUGAAUGUCCACUUACUUUGUCUGUGUGCAAGUGUUGUGUCUCUAAUAAACUCAAUUAGUUGUUUUGUAUUCUUCUGGAUUAAAAGCUUUGUAGAAACUAAAAAGGGAAAAAAAGACAUUCAGUCAUAUUUUUGUAGUCAAGCUUGUAGAAUAUUUCAUGUAGUGCAGAAAGGAGGUUUUAUGGAGUAAGACAUUGUUGGAUUUUGCUCUAUUUCAGUUCUUUCUAAUUUUGUAAAAUGCCACCUGUACAUAAUACUCGACUAAUGUAUGUCCUGUAGAUGUAUUACACCAUUUAGCCUAUUAAAUGCCUAUACUGGACCGACUGGA
Molecule: long non-coding RNA, 3863 nt
Organism: Strigops habroptila (Kakapo)
Lineage: Eukaryota; Metazoa; Chordata; Aves; Psittaciformes; Psittacidae
Exons: 5
Source: RefSeq, a predicted model, not a curated record